RNAcentral lists this ribosomal RNA (484 nucleotides) under uncultured bacterium. Its description in RNAcentral is "partial 16S ribosomal RNA". It matches the Rfam family "Bacterial small subunit ribosomal RNA", at positions 30 to 507 of the family's 1533-position model. The record is from RNAcentral.
AUUGAACGCUGGCGGCAGGCCUAACACAUGCAAGUCGAGCGGAUGAAGGGAGCUUGCUCCUGGAUUCAGCGGCGGACGGGUGAGUAAUGCCUAGGAAUCUGCCUGGUAGUGGGGGAUAACGUCCGGAAACGGGCGCUAAUAUCGCAUACGUCCUGAGGGAGAAAGUGGGGGAUCUUCGGACCUCACGCUAUCAGAUGAGCCUAGGUCGGAUUAGCUAGUUGGUGGGGUAAAGGCCUACCAAGGCGACGAUCCGUAACUGGUCUGAGAGGAUGAUCAGUCACACUGGAACUGAGACACGGUCCAGACUCCUACGGGAGGCAGCAGUGGGGAAUAUUGGACAAUGGGCGAAAUCCUGAUCCAGCCAUGCCGCGUGUGUGAAGAAGGUCUUCGGAUUGUAAAGCACUUUAAGUUGGGAGGAAGGGCAGUAAGUUAAUACCUUGCUGUUUUGACGUUACCAACAUAAUAAGCACCGGCUAACUUCGUG